CACACAAUCUGAAAGCUUAAUCAGGGUCUGGUGUUUCCAUCAGAGCUGCACUCAGAGGUGCCAAAACAUUUAGACUAAUGCAGCAGUGGAUAACGCGGGAAUGUGGGAUCUUCUCAUAAACACUGUGAACAUCAUUGUGAAGUUCAUCUGAUGAUCUGCGGCUUGUGUAAACUCAGAGGACUGCGAGAGAUCAGCAGGAGACGGUGUUACAUCAUGGGCUGAAUAAAUGAGACCGGGCCACAAUGGAGUAUAAGUGCUUAUAACUCUCUCUCUCUCUCUCUCUCUCUCUCUCUCUCUCUCUGUAUAAAUCUCUGAUAUCUCUUUCAUCUUCUCACACUUCUGGGAGAAGGAGUGGAGCCAAGCUUCAUUCAUUACAGUUCAACCCAGUGGAUUAAUACGACCUGAAGCUUCUCUGUGGGAUGAGUGACAGCCGUGUGAACGAGGGAUUGACCAGAGAAGUCACAUCAUGUAAGAGGUUACAGUCGUCCACGUGGAACGUUCGAACUAAACCUUCGCCUUUAAAGUGAGAAGACAGAAGUGAGUCUGCUGCUCCUGCUGCUGAUACGUUACCUGACCUUCAGCCUGGACCAAGUGGAGAUGGAGCUGUCUGAGGUCCGGGACCCACAGGUGACAGCACAGCGACUCUACACCCAUCAGCACCACCGAUAUGGACACC
Long non-coding RNA from Tachysurus vachellii, 676 nucleotides. RefSeq lists it as uncharacterized. NCBI's taxonomy places the organism in Eukaryota, Metazoa, Chordata, Actinopteri, Siluriformes, Bagridae. The record is from RefSeq and is a predicted model, not a curated record. The transcript has 5 exons.